Molecule: microRNA, 21 nt
Filed under: Mus musculus (house mouse)
Lineage: Eukaryota; Metazoa; Chordata; Mammalia; Rodentia; Muridae
Description: mmu-miR-7684-5p
Source: miRBase by way of RNAcentral
UCUGGGAAGCCUGGGCAGCAG